UACGGGGGGAGCAAGCGUUGUUCGGAUUUACUGGGCGUAAAGGGCGCGUAGGCGGGCUGGCAAGUCGGUCGUGAAAUCCCUCGGCUCAACCGAGGAACGUCGAUCGAUACUGCUGUUCUUGAGGAUUGCAGAGGAGACUGGAAUUCCCGGUGUAGCGGUGAAAUGUGUAGAGAUCGGGAGGAACACCGGUGGCGAAGGCGGGUCUCUGGGCAUUUCCUGACGCUGAGGCGCGAAAGCGUGGGGAGCAAACGGG
Molecule: ribosomal RNA, 253 nt
Filed under: uncultured bacterium
Lineage: Bacteria
Description: partial 16S ribosomal RNA
Rfam family: Bacterial small subunit ribosomal RNA
Source: RNAcentral